AGAGCGAACGCUGGCGGCAGGCUUAACACAUGCAAGUCGAGCGGGCGUAGCAAUACGUCAGCGGCAGACGGGUGAGUAACGCGUGGGAACAUACCUUUUGGUUCGGAACAACACAGGGAAACUUGUGCUAAUACCGGAUAAGCCCUUACGGGGAAAGAUUUAUCGCCGAAAGAUUGGCCCGCGUCUGAUUAGCUAGUUGGUGAGGUAACGGCUCACCAAGGCGACGAUCAGUAGCUGGUCUGAGAGGAUGAUCAGCCACAUUGGGACUGAGACACGGCCCAAACUCCUACGGGAGGCAGCAGUGGGGAAUAUUGGACAAUGGGCGCAAGCCUGAUCCAGCCAUGCCGCGUGAGUGAUGAAGGCCCUAGGGUUGUAAAGCUCGUUUUGUGCGGGAAGAUAAUGACGGUACCGCAAGAAUAACGCCCCGGCUAACUUCGCGCCAGCAGCCGC
Molecule: ribosomal RNA, 450 nt
Filed under: uncultured bacterium
Lineage: Bacteria
Description: SSU rRNA
Rfam family: Bacterial small subunit ribosomal RNA
Source: RNAcentral